RNAcentral lists this ribosomal RNA (230 nucleotides) under uncultured bacterium. Its description in RNAcentral is "partial 16S ribosomal RNA". It matches the Rfam family "Bacterial small subunit ribosomal RNA", at positions 524 to 753 of the family's 1533-position model. The record is from RNAcentral.
UACGGGGGGUGCAAGCGUUGUCCGGAAUUACUGGGCGUAAAGCGUGCGCAGGCGGUCUGUUAAGACCGAUGUGAAAUCCCCGGGCUUAACCUGGGAACUGCAUUUGUGACUGGCGGGCUAGAGUAUGGCAGAGGGGGGUAGAAUUCCACGUGUAGCAGUGAAAUGCGUAGAGAUGUGGAGGAAUACCGAUGGCGAAGGCAGCCCCCUGGGCCAAUACUGACGCUCAUGCA